GAUGAACGCUGGCGGCGUGCCUAAUACAUGCGAGUCGAGCGAACAGAUAAGGAGCUUGCUCCUUUGACGUUAGCGGCGGACGGGUGAGUAACACGUGGGUAACCUACCUAUAAGACUGGAAUAACUCCGGGAAACCGGGGCUAAUGCCGGAUAACAUUUAGAACCGCAUGGUUCUAAAGUGAAAGAUGGUUUUGCUAUCACUUAUAGAUGGACCCGCGCCGUAUUAGCUAGUUGGUAAGGUAACGGCUUACCAAGGCAACGAUACGUAGCCGACCUGUGAGGGUGAUCGGCCACACUGGAACUUAGACACGGUCCAGACUCCUACGGGAGGCAGCAGUAGGGAAUCUUCCGCAAUGGGCGAAAGCCUGACGGAGCAACGCCGCGUGAGUGAUGAAGGUCUUCGGAUCGUAAAACUCUGUUAUUAGGGAAGAACAAAUGUGUAAGGAACUGUGCACGUCUUGACGGUACCUAAUCAGAAAGCCACGGCUAACUACGUG
RNAcentral lists this ribosomal RNA (497 nucleotides) under uncultured bacterium. Its description in RNAcentral is "partial 16S ribosomal RNA". It matches the Rfam family "Bacterial small subunit ribosomal RNA", at positions 28 to 507 of the family's 1533-position model. The record is from RNAcentral.